Molecule: unclassified non-coding RNA, 234 nt
Filed under: Hevea brasiliensis (rubber tree)
Lineage: Eukaryota; Viridiplantae; Streptophyta; Magnoliopsida; Malpighiales; Euphorbiaceae
Source: RNAcentral
ACCACUUGGCCCUUUUGUUUGAGGCAAUGAACCAUGAGAAGUUUGUCAAAAGGAGAAGAUCUCGCUAUCACGCAUAUGCUAUCAACUUUCUCCAUUCUUUCAUCAGGUGUAUAGUUUCGAAAUUCUUCCCCAUCUACUACUGCUCCACUGAACAUAUCUUGAUCAGGCUUGAGUAUCCCACAUUCAAUGGCUAUAGCUCUUGCUGUGAAAACAUUGUCACCUGUGAUCAUUUUG